ACACCCUCACCUCUCUUUGGUCAUUGACUAUUAAGAUUAUGUUUCCAGAUAUGGUUUCCUUUCCAGAUGAAGAGUGUCUUCUUCCCAUUUCUCUCACCUCCAGUACAAUCAAUGGAAUGGAAUCCCUAGCCUCCUUGGCUCUCCGAAACCUCAUCUCUCUUCAAGUCCUAGAGAUAUCAAAUUGCUCUAACCUCCGCUCUUUAGCGUCGUUGCCUGCAACACUUGAAAGACUUCAAAUCCAGAAUUCUCCUAUACUAAAAGAAAGGUGCUCAAAGGAGAAAGGAGAAUAUUGGCCCAACAUCGCCCACAUCCCCAGCAUUCGGAUAGUUGGAGAAUAGAUAUUGAGGCAGAAACUUGUAGGUGGAGGCAUUACGUUUCAUCCAUUCUUACAUUCAGUCAGUUUGAUCUUAAGAAGAUUGGAGUAGGCAGGAGUGAAAACCUUCUGGUUGACUUUGGAUUUGAACUACAAUAUCUCAAGGAAGGUGCCUAUACAUAGGUGGAAUCAAAAGCUUUUCAAUAAUAAGUUUGCGGUCUAUUGAGAUCAAUGAUGCGGAAAGUAUCCCCUGCUUUUAGAUAGAUGGGGAAUAUAUGCAUUGAAGUAUAAUAACUAGAAAUAGAAAUGCAGUUUGUGGGUACUAGAAAGGAAAUGGAAGCAGAAAACCAUUCAACCUCCAAUCCUUGCAGUUUGAUCUAAAGAAGGUUGGGGUGGGUAGGAACAAAAACCUUCUGGUUAACUUUGGAUUUGAAGUGCAGUAUCUCAAGAAACGUGUGAGAAUCUGAAAACGCCCAUAUCUGACUGGGGCCUCCACUCCCUCACCUCUCUUUCCAAAUUGAUUAUUGAGGAUAUCUUUCCAGGUUGAUCCUUGCAUGUUUAGGUCCUGUAAUUUCUGGAAGGGGGAUUUGGCCCCAUGGUAGCUUCAGUUUGGGUUCAAUUCUUAAGAGCUUGAUGCACAUGUUUCUGAGUAGCACUGGUCCACUAGGCCUUUACAGAUGAUGAAAUCAUGCUGCCUGUCCUCUAACUUGAAGAAGGGUUGCAUGUGACACCCAAUGCUGGAAAUCCAGAUCAAUUUUCCUGUCCUAAGACAAAGUUGCUUAAAGGAGAAAGGAGGAAGUUUGGCUCAGGGUUGCCUACAUCUCUGACAUUCAACAACAUGACUUCAUUGGAAAAUAUGAAUUUAUAUUGAAUUGUGUUUUGCCCACUCUGGAAGUUGAGAGGGAGAUCACUCCUCGUUCCUUCAGCCAGGAGGGGGGGAAAAACAAUGCAGAUGCAAAUUUAAUUCCUAACAUAAGUAUGGUGGUAUGUUAUUGACCUCAAUCAUAAUUGAUGAUUUUCCUUUUUGAUUAUUGAGUAAACUUGACAGGUUCUAUGUAAGUUAUAAUUUUCAUGCCAUUGUAUUUCUACCACCAACACAACUAUUUCUUAAUAAUAAUUUCAAUGAGCACUUUUUAAAAGUUUUUGUCCUUGUUAUAUGGAUGCAUGGGGUACUUGAUUCAUAUUAGUAUCAAGAUAGACCCAUUAUAGUUCAUUGUUUGUGUAUAUAACUGUGUUGAUAUAGGGCAUUUCACAUUGCGGGCAAUAGCAUCCCUCUUACAACUCUAAUUGGGCUUUAUUACAUUUGUGAUACUUGGGUUAGGUAAAUUCUAUUCUGCUGGCCUAACUCUCUUUUCCUUUAUCCUUUCUUUUUUUUAAUACUUCCUGAAUGUAAGCUGGUAGGUGGUGGAAGCAUGAUGGCCCAUUUAAAAUGGAUGGGCUUGAGAAUGUGCCAUACAAUGAUUUCUCUGCUAGUUGAUGGCAUAAAAAUGAGAGGAAUUUUGAGACUUAUGGCUCUCUAAGAAGAACUCAACUCAAUGAAUGUCUGUGUGCUUUUUCAGUUUUAGUGGCUCAAGCAAAAUCAGCUGUCUCUGAUUUUGGAACUUGACGUAUAUAAUGAUUUGUUAUCAGGUUGGCUCCUAAGGAUGAUGACUGAGAGCCGGAAGGCAUAUGGAGAGCAGUUCUAUUCUAGUCUAGCAUUUAGGGGGAAAGGGGGCAAAGAUGGAGCAUAUGUUCCUUAACCAAUUAUUUUGCUGGGAAAACAUGACAAAGAGGGUCUUUGCUGUGGCUUUCCUUUAUGAAAUGUAUUGCAUGUGCAGUAUAUUUUCUUCCUUUAGCAGUUAUCUUUUCUUUGUUCUUUCAGAGAUCCACAUAUACAUGAGAUCUACUUUAUUUGGGGUAGCCUACUUUUGUUUUGAUGGUUUCAAAAAGAAGAUAAAGACAUGAAAUAGACAGGUUAUUACUCAUCUAAGAAAGCAGUGUGAUUAUGAUUGCACAAUUUACAUUGGAUGCAUAGCCCCUGUUUGUGAAGGUUUAAGCUUAUUUUUAAAUUAUGAUCAUAAUAUCAUCGAACACUCAUUCAAAGUUCACGAUGCUUGUGAACAAUUGUUGAUCACAGUAGCAAGAUGUCUCCAUUACAGUUACAUGGUUCCUUCUUUUGUUAUGGAUGUACUUGAUUUUCACAUUGGCAUUCAUUUCUAAAAUUUUUUAAUUUUCAGAGGAUUCAUGUCUAGAUGGGUUUUGCAGGGGAUCAAUUUCUGCAACAAUGUGAGUCAUGCCCCUCCCCUCCAAGAAGCUCACUUGGGCAUAUCGUAUUCUUGAGUUCGCAUGUUAAGAAAGGUAGGGAAAAGUAUCGCCCCCUACCUAAAAUCAUCUCAAAACUAUAUAACUCUCACUCUUCUUCUGUGCUAACACUUACUUUUUGUUGUUUUGGUUUUGAAUUGUCUGUAAGUCAACAUGGUUGGUUCUCUAAGCCUGUUGGAUACUUAUAAGUUGACGGGAUUGGAGAAUAGGCCUUAUGAUAACUCCUUUGUAGUCUUCCAUGGAAGACAAAGAAUCUCAAGUCUGCAUAUUGAUUUGUUCAUCUGUUGUUGUUGCCCAUUGGCCUGGACUUGGGGAUGCAUGAAAAGGGAAUAUGUUUCUUGGAGGCCUCUCAACAUAUUUCAUGGUAACUGAAGACAUGAUUGUGAAAUUACCAAAUAUUAUCACCAAACAAGCCACCAUUUUGGUAAAAAUGUAGAGAAAAUACAAGAAACUCUUGGGAUCUUGUUAGAGACUUCAACUUGGCAUUGAAACUUUAGGUUUUUGAA
Molecule: long non-coding RNA, 3120 nt
Organism: Vitis riparia (riverbank grape)
Lineage: Eukaryota; Viridiplantae; Streptophyta; Magnoliopsida; Vitales; Vitaceae
Exons: 8
Source: RefSeq, a predicted model, not a curated record